CACCCACUGUCGGUACCCCAGAUGGAGGUCUCUCCAGGGCCUGCAGGGCUCUGGGGUGUAUUUAUGGGUCCAAAGGCCUGGCUGGGGAGGACAAAGCAUCCCGGUGGCUUCCAGCUCCAUUUCCUGACUCAGGGCAGAGGAGGGCCCCACCCACUCCCAAGCCUUCUCUCCCGGACCCCGGCAGCCACAGGUCACCAGGACCAUCCAGCCUGAGGCCCUCGGCGCAGCCUGGACUAAAGCCACUACACCUAGCUGACGCCUCCUUCCCCUCCCACCAGCCUCCAGAAUCGGUUUUCCAGAAACCACCUCCGACGCUCCAGCAGAGGGAAACAGACACAUUUUCGUUUCAUUAAAGCAACUUGAGUGAAGAUAAAAAAGAAGCUGAAAAAUUAGAUUUAAAAACAGAGAGCGAGAAGCAUUUAAACAAAAUGAAUGAAAAUGAGCUGCCGCGGAGAGCGCCAGGAACCUGCCCCACCUCCGUGCGGCCCGCACCCCUGCAGGGAGACCACAGGGGAGCCGAAGGGGCAGUCAGUGGACGCUCUCGCCUGGUGCCCCCAGAAGACUGAACCGUGGACUCCGGCCUCCCUGAAAAUCGGCCCGCUGGGUGAUAGAGGAACCAAGCUGGAGGGAUUCGGCCCCCCACCCCCACCCCCACCCCGGGGCCAGCAGCAUCCUCUUCCGUCAGGACAAGCCUGGUGGGAGAGCCAGUCUCCCUGGGUUCAAUCCCCAGCUCCACCAACUGCUACCAGCGGUGUGUCCUUGGGCAAGAGUCUUCUGGGUCUCAGUCUCUCCGUCAAUAAAAUGGGAACGAUAA
This is a long non-coding RNA of Panthera uncia (snow leopard), 814 nucleotides long. RefSeq lists it as uncharacterized. The transcript has 4 exons. NCBI's taxonomy places the organism in Eukaryota, Metazoa, Chordata, Mammalia, Carnivora, Felidae. The record is from RefSeq and is a predicted model, not a curated record.